UACGUAGGGUGCGAGCGUUAAUCGGAAUUACUGGGCGUAAAGCGUGCGCAGGCGGUUUUGUAAGUCAGAUGUGAAAUCCCCGGGCUCAACCUGGGAACUGCGUUUGAAACUACAAGGCUAGAGUGUAGCAGAGGGGGGUAGAAUUCCACGUGUAGCAGUGAAAUGCGUAGAGAUGUGGAGGAAUACCAAUGGCGAAGGCAGCCCCCUGGGUUA
RNAcentral lists this ribosomal RNA (213 nucleotides) under uncultured bacterium. RNAcentral's name for it is "partial 16S ribosomal RNA". It matches the Rfam family "Bacterial small subunit ribosomal RNA", at positions 524 to 736 of the family's 1533-position model. The record is from RNAcentral.